Non-coding RNA from Neolamprologus brichardi, 278 nucleotides. The record is from RefSeq and is a predicted model, not a curated record. Lineage: Eukaryota; Metazoa; Chordata; Actinopteri; Cichliformes; Cichlidae.
UGGGAGUGUCACGAACACCCUUUUGAACCUCGUGGAGGUGGUUUUCUCUUCGCUCUAUUGACUCUGCUGAAUCCAGGUAUUUGCUUCAGUGAAGCUGCUCUUCCGUUUGACAUAUUCUUGUACAGCACUGCAAACAUGUCAGACCCAACAAGACUAGAAAUGGCAUUGGCUGCAAUGUUCAGUGCCUACAUGUCCUACCAAGGAGAUGACAAUAAACUGACCAAAGAACAAUUUCUAAAAUUAGUGAAGAAUGAACUACCCUUACUUUCUCAGGUAAG